GCGCGAAACCUCCGCAAUGUGAGAAAUCGCGACGGGGGGAUCCCAAGUGCCAUUCUUAACGGGAUGGCUUUUCAUUAGUGUAAAGAGCUUUUGGAAUAAGAGCUGGGCAAGACCGGUGCCAGCCGCCGCGGUAACACCGGCAGCUCUAGUGGUAGCAGUUUUUAUUGGGCCUAAAGCGUCCGUAGCCGGUUUAAUAAGUCUCUGGUGAAAUCCUGCAGCUUAACUGUGGGAAUUGCUGGAGAUACUAUUAGACUUGAGAUCGGGAGAGGUUAGAGGUACUCCCAGGGUAGAGGUGAAAUUCUGUAAUCCUGGGAGGACCGCCUGUUGCGAAGGCGUCUGACUGGAACGAUUCUGACGGUGAGGGACGAAAGCUAGGGGCGCGAACCGG
Molecule: ribosomal RNA, 388 nt
Filed under: uncultured bacterium
Lineage: Bacteria
Description: bacterial SSU rRNA
Rfam family: Archaeal small subunit ribosomal RNA
Source: RNAcentral